Molecule: ribosomal RNA, 361 nt
Filed under: uncultured bacterium
Lineage: Bacteria
Description: bacterial SSU rRNA
Rfam family: Bacterial small subunit ribosomal RNA
Source: RNAcentral
UACCUAUAAGACUGGGAUAACUUCGGGAAACCGGAGCUAAUACCGGAUAACAUAUUGAACCGCAUGGUUCAAUAGUGAAAGGCGGCUUUGCUGUCACUUAUAGAUGGAUCCGCGCCGUAUUAGCUAGUUGGUAAGGUAACGGCUUACCAAGGCAACGAUACGUAGCCGACCUGAGAGGGUGAUCGGCCACACUGGAACUGAGACACGGUCCAGACUCCUACGGGAGGCAGCAGUAGGGAAUCUUCCGCAAUGGGCGAAAGCCUGACGGAGCAACGCCGCGUGAGUGAUGAAGGUCUUCGGAUCGUAAAACUCUGUUAUCAGGGAAGAACAAAUGUGUAAGUAACUGUGCACAUCUGACGGU